ACAUAUACGCGUGAAAGUUCUUCAACCGUGCUUCGAGAGUCUCGAUUUUCGCCUUGCAAAAUGUAUCUCCGCGACGCACAAUUCGCGCGUUCCUUAAUGCUGCUACAUCGCGUUGUGAAAUCUUCGAUUUCUCGCAAGUUUACAGAAAGGAGAGGAUUGUAGAAAGCAUCUGGUAGUCCCGACAAUGCUGGUAACUUACAGCAAGAAGAUUUAAAGAGCUCAGCGGACAGAUAUAUGGCGAAAUUACUAUCUCGCGGUCGCUCAUCUUUGAAUAAAUCGCGAGUCCCUUAAAUCCAAUAGCGCAAACGCCAAACUGAGAAUUCCCAGAUAAUAUCUACUCGGUAGUCGACGGUAAGACACCCGCCCGAAGAGUAGGGAGAUCCUGGUUGAGCUGCGCUUCAAGACGGACAAAUAUUCGACGCGUAAUUUACCUGAACUGGAAAUUGUAAAGAUUCACACAAUUAUUAUCAAGCACAAGAUUCACUUCAGACCGCAUAUGGCAUUUAUAAAAAUGUAUCAUUAUUUACAAGUCAAUAUAGAAAAAUCACGGAUUCCCAUACGAUAUAUAUGCAGAUUCGGCCAAACAUAUAUGAAUAUUGCAUUGAACGAACAAGCUGAUAUCAAAUCAGCUAAGAGGACGACAGACGGAUCAAAUUCAAUAGACGGAUCAAAUGCGACAGACUUAAUAACGAUGACAAGAGAACUUUUAUCGCUGCUGCAGAGAUAUGUGCAUAUCCCUUUGAGUACUUCAACUUACGAUGUCGUAUUGCACUAAUAUGAAUUAUAGUAACAAAAAGAUUAGCACAAAUAUCGAAUGGAAGUGCAUUUAAUUUCAAAAAUUUCUAAACGUUGAGUGAUUUUACUUCUCAAUAUAACUUAGAAUGUAAAAUUUAAUUAAAUUGAAUUGAGUUUUUAAAUUAUUUACAGUUUAACGAUAAUGCACAAUAAAAAAAUGUUUAUUGUAUUACUGUUUUUCGAAACUACAUUAAAAUCAGAGAUUACAAAUAAAA
This is a long non-coding RNA of Wasmannia auropunctata (little fire ant), 1010 nucleotides long. RefSeq lists it as uncharacterized. The record is from RefSeq and is a predicted model, not a curated record. The transcript has 3 exons. Lineage: Eukaryota; Metazoa; Arthropoda; Insecta; Hymenoptera; Formicidae.